CUCUGGUUAGCUCAGUUGGUAGAGCGCUCCACUGGAAAUGGAGAGGUCCCGGGUUCGAUACCCGGACCAGGCG
Molecule: transfer RNA, 73 nt
Filed under: Ixodes scapularis (black-legged tick)
Lineage: Eukaryota; Metazoa; Arthropoda; Arachnida; Ixodida; Ixodidae
Rfam family: tRNA
About the family: Transfer RNA (tRNA) molecules are approximately 80 nucleotides in length. Their secondary structure includes four short double-helical elements and three loops (D, anti-codon, and T loops). Further hydrogen bonds mediate the characteristic L-shaped molecular structure. tRNAs have two regions of fundamental functional importance: the anti-codon, which is responsible for specific mRNA codon recognition, and the 3' end, to which the tRNAs corresponding amino acid is attached (by aminoacyl-tRNA synthetases). tRNAs cope with the degeneracy of the genetic code in two manners: having more than one tRNA (with a specific anti-codon) for a particular amino acid; and 'wobble' base-pairing, i.e. permitting non-standard base-pairing at the 3rd anti-codon position.
Source: Rfam by way of RNAcentral